RNAcentral lists this ribosomal RNA (444 nucleotides) under uncultured bacterium. RNAcentral describes it as "bacterial SSU rRNA". It matches the Rfam family "Bacterial small subunit ribosomal RNA", at positions 8 to 453 of the family's 1533-position model. The record is from RNAcentral.
AGAGUUUGAUCCUGGCUCAGAAUGAACGCUGGCGGCGUGCCUAACACAUGCAAGUCGGAUGUGCCGCAAGGUGCAUGGCAGACGGGUGAGUAACGCGUAGGGAAUCUACCUCUUUGUGGGGAAUAACGCUCCGAAAGGAGUGGUAAUACCGCAUGAGACCGAGUGCUGGGAUGCAUUCGGUGAAACCUGGGGACCGCAAGGCCUGGGGCAAGGAGAGGAUCCUGCGUCUGAUUAGCUAGUUGGCGGGGUAAUGGCCCACCAAGGCGACGAUCAGUAGCCGGCCUGAGAGGGUGAUCGGCCGCACUGGAACUGAGACACGGUCCAGACUCCUACGGGAGGCAGCAGUGGGGAAUUUUGCGCAAUGGACGAAAGUCUGACGCAGCAACGCCGCGUGGGUGAUGAAGGUCUUCGGACUGUAAAACCCUGUCGUCAGGGACGAAGGUG